Molecule: ribosomal RNA, 598 nt
Filed under: uncultured bacterium
Lineage: Bacteria
Description: bacterial SSU rRNA
Rfam family: Bacterial small subunit ribosomal RNA
Source: RNAcentral
CCAGACUCCUACGGGAGGCAGCAGUGAGGAAUAUUGGACAAUGGUCGGAAGACUGAUCCAGCCAUGCCGCGUGCAGGAUGAAGGUCUUAUGGAUUGUAAACUGCUUUUGUAAGGGAAGAAUAAGAGCUACGCGUAGUUUGAUGACGGUACCUUAUGAAUAAGCAUCGGCUAACUCCGUGCCAGCAGCCGCGGUAAUACGGAGGAUGCGAGCGUUAUCCGGAUUUAUUGGGUUUAAAGGGUGCGUAGGCGGUAUUACAAGUCAGGGGUGAAAUCUUGGUGCUUAACAUUAAAAUUGCCUUUGAAACUGUGGUACUUGAGUGUAAAAGAGGUAGGCGGAAUGUGUUGUGUAGCGGUGAAAUGCAUAGAUAUAACACAGAACCCCGAUUGCGAAGGCAGCUUACUAUCAUACAACUGGCGCUGAUGCACGAAAGCGUGGGGAUCAAACAGGAUUAGAUACCCUGGUAGUCCACGCAGUAAACGAUGAUUACUAGCUGUUAGCGAUAUAUUGUUAGUGGCUAAGCGAAAGCGAUAAGUAAUCCACCUGGGGAGUACGUUCGCAAGAAUGAAACUCAAAGGAAUUGACGGGGGCCCGCACAAG